Myxocyprinus asiaticus (Chinese sucker) is the source of this 1213-nucleotide long non-coding RNA. RefSeq lists it as uncharacterized. The transcript has 5 exons. Lineage: Eukaryota; Metazoa; Chordata; Actinopteri; Cypriniformes; Catostomidae. The record is from RefSeq and is a predicted model, not a curated record.
CAUUUAGUCAGAAACUAGACACUUCCAGGCUGGAGAACAUCACAUCCACGGGAAAAGCAGAGCGCAGUCGCUCUCGACUGCACAGUGGAAACGGAAUGGGGACAUUGCUCAUGCAUGGUUUAAUAAAAUAAGCCUGCAUGUCCUCUUACAUCCACGCAUGAACACUGUUAACAAGCUUUCAAGGGGGAAUUCCCCAUCUUGGAAAUUAAACUGCCUGUUCCGUUCUCUGGAUCGCUGAGAGGCAACAUUCGAGGGUUGAACACUUAAGGACUGCGAGUUUUUGAACGGGAAAAUGUAUAAUUGAAGAGCUGGCACAGAAGAGUAUGCUUCUGGCAAUACAAGCCACUGUUCAUAGAUUUUUGCGUCAAUUUUUAACGCAAGACGCACGGGAACCUCUAUUUGUCCACGACACACAGGCACUCGUAGCUUACUUUCUGACAGUGAGGAAUAUGCACGUCAUUGUUAUAGAAGUCAACUUUAUGAGAUGGUUUUUAAGUGUUGAUAGGAGGAGGUUGCUGUCUUUGGUUAUCUAGCUGUAUGAGUGAUUAUCUGCCUUCAUAAAGCUAGAUAACCGAAAGUAGAAACGUCCUCCUUAACUGCACAGUGGACAAGUUCACAGUGGAAGAAGUAAUCGCGGGAAACUGUGAGAGUUACGAGCAUGAGCCUCUUAAACACACAGUGUCUUUGUGAGAGACCAGAGCACUGGAGCUACAAGAAGAAGAAAACAGACCAUCUGCAACUGCCAGCCAUUUACACUCCUUUUGGAGCAAGAGAGGGAGUGGGAAAAAGGGUGCAAUUGUCCAAAUGAAAGAAAAGAAAAAUAAUAGUCAACCCUCAUCCUUCUCCUACCAGCUCCCCUCCCUUCAUCAACGGAAGCAUUUAGUGCCAUCUGUGCCCCCAGAGUAAAGAAAAAAAGAAAGUGAGUUAGAGUCUACAUCCCUAGUGCCAAUGGGGACAAAGAGGCUGCCAGUUGCCACGGACCACCAGAUGCUGGAAGACUGAAUGAGGGGUGUGCUUUCAGGAAGCCAUCUUGAUGGAUAAACUGGCUGCUGCUCUCUAAAAUGGCUGUGUUGGCAUGAGGCUCCUGGAAAUGAUCAAAACUGUUGAGAAAAAAAAAAAAAACAAACAUCGCUGUCAUCAGCUGCCAGAGGACAUCAGGCUAUUUUUGAUUCAGAUGGUCAAUAACAGCACCUCAGGAAUCCAGCAUCUCUUC